RNAcentral lists this ribosomal RNA (110 nucleotides) under Vibrio hangzhouensis. RNAcentral's name for it is "16S rRNA. Bacterial SSU". It matches the Rfam family "Bacterial small subunit ribosomal RNA", at positions 1 to 101 of the family's 1533-position model. Lineage: Bacteria; Pseudomonadati; Pseudomonadota; Gammaproteobacteria; Vibrionales; Vibrionaceae. The record is from RNAcentral.
UUAAAUUGAAGAGUUUGAUCAUGGCUCAGAUUGAACGCUGGCGGCAGGCCUAACACAUGCAAGUCGAGCGGAAACGAGUUAACUGACCCUUCGGGUGACGUUAACGGCGU